GUUUGAACUCAGAUCAUGUGCGGGGUAGAGGUCGAACAGACCUUGUGAAAAUAGCUUCUGCACUAUUUGUGGCCGCAAUUCAACAUCGAGGUCGCAAACAAUUAUUUUAAUAAGGGCUUAAAUAAUUAUAACGCUGUUAUCCCUAGAGUACCUUAUUCGUCUAAUUUAAUAA
This 172-nucleotide ribosomal RNA is filed under the name Acartia tonsa. RNAcentral describes it as "partial large subunit ribosomal RNA". Lineage: Eukaryota; Metazoa; Arthropoda; Copepoda; Calanoida; Acartiidae. The record is from RNAcentral.